This 483-nucleotide ribosomal RNA is filed under the name uncultured bacterium. RNAcentral's name for it is "bacterial SSU rRNA". It matches the Rfam family "Bacterial small subunit ribosomal RNA", at positions 57 to 518 of the family's 1533-position model. The record is from RNAcentral.
GCAAGUCGAGCGUGAAGGGGCGUUCGGCCCUGAGUAAAGCGGCGCACGGGUGAGUAACACGUGAAUAAUCUGCCCUCCGACCGGGAUAACAGACCGAAAGGACUGCUAAUACCGGAUAAGCCCACAAGCCAACCGGGCGUGCGGGAAAGUACGGGAUCCUUCGGGACCGUAUGCGGAAGGAUGAGUUCGCGUUCCAUUAGAUAGUUGGUGAGGUAACGGCCCACCAAGUCGACGAUGGAUAGCUGGUCUGAGAGGAUGAUCAGCCACACUGGAACUGAGACACGGUCCAGACUCCUACGGGAGGCAGCAGUGGGGAAUCUUGCGCAAUGGGGGAAACCCUGACGCAGCCAUGCCGCGUGAGUGAAUGAAGGCCUUCGGGUUGUAAAGCUCUGUCUAAGGGGACGAAUGGCACAUAGAACAAGACAUUAUGUGCGUGACGGUACCCUUAAAGAAAACACCGGCUAACUCCGUGCCAGCCGCCGC